UACGGAGGGUGCAAGCGUUAUCCGGAUUCACUGGGUUUAAAGGGAGCGUAGGUGGGCUGGUAAGUCAGUGGUGAAAUCUCCGGGCUUAACCCGGAAACUGCCGUUGAUACUAUCAGUCUUGAAUAUUGUGGAGGUAAGCGGAAUAUGUCAUGUAGCGGUGAAAUGCUUAGAUAUGACAUAGAACACCGAUAGCGAAGGCAGCUUGCUACACAAUGAUUGACACUGAGGCUCGAAAGCGUGGGGAUCAAACAGG
RNAcentral lists this ribosomal RNA (253 nucleotides) under uncultured bacterium. RNAcentral describes it as "partial 16S ribosomal RNA". It matches the Rfam family "Bacterial small subunit ribosomal RNA", at positions 524 to 776 of the family's 1533-position model. The record is from RNAcentral.